UACAUAGGGGGCAAGCGUUAUUCGGAAUUACUGGGCGUAAAGGGCUCGUAGGCGGCCAACUAAGUCAUACGUGAAAUCCCUCAGCUUAACUGGGGAACUGCGUGUGAUACUGGAUGGCUUGGAUUUGGGAGAGGGAUGCGGAAUUCCAGGUGUAGCGGUGAAAUGCGUAGAUAUCUGGAGGAACACCGGUGGCGAAGGCGGCAUCCUGGGCCAUUACUGACGCUGAGGAGCGAAAGCGUGGGGAGCGAACAGG
Molecule: ribosomal RNA, 253 nt
Filed under: uncultured bacterium
Lineage: Bacteria
Description: partial 16S ribosomal RNA
Rfam family: Bacterial small subunit ribosomal RNA
Source: RNAcentral